RNAcentral lists this ribosomal RNA (528 nucleotides) under uncultured bacterium. Its description in RNAcentral is "bacterial SSU rRNA". It matches the Rfam family "Bacterial small subunit ribosomal RNA", at positions 980 to 1509 of the family's 1533-position model. The record is from RNAcentral.
CUUGACAUCCAGCGAACUUUCCAGAGAUGGAUUGGUGCCUUCGGAACGCUGAGACAGGUGCUGCAUGGCUGUCGUCAGCUCGUGUUGUGAAAUGUUGGGUUAAGUCCCGCAACGAGCGCAACCCUUAUCCUUUGUUGCCAGCGAUUCGGUCGGGAACUCAAAGGAGACUGCCGGUGAUAAACCGGAGGAAGGUGGGGAUGACGUCAAGUCAUCAUGGCCCUUACGAGUAGGGCUACACACGUGCUACAAUGGCGCAUACAAAGAGAAGCGACCUCGCGAGAGCAAGCGGACCUCAUAAAGUGCGUCGUAGUCCGGAUCGGAGUCUGCAACUCGACUCCGUGAAGUCGGAAUCGCUAGUAAUCGUGGAUCAGAAUGCCACGGUGAAUACGUUCCCGGGCCUUGUACACACCGCCCGUCACACCAUGGGAGUGGGUUGCAAAAGAAGUAGGUAGCUUAACCUUCGGGAGGGCGCUUACCACUUUGUGAUUCAUGACUGGGGUGAAGUCGUAACAAGGUAGGCGUAGCGAG